UUGACGUGGGGGCACCCUGACCGCAAUGCCGCGAGAUGAAGAAGGCCUUCGGGUUGUAAAGCUCUUUUGUCAGGGAAGAAACACCGGCUCUAACACAGUCCGGGAAUGACGGUACCUGAAGAAUAAGCACCGGCUAACUACGUGCCAGCAGCCGCGGUAAUACGUAGGGUGCAAGCGUUAAUCGGAAUUACUGGGCGUAAAGCGUGCGCAGGCGGUUAUACAAGACAGGCGUGAAAUCCCCGGGCUUAACCUGGGAAUGGCGCCUGUGACUGUAUAGCUAGAGUGUGUCAGAGGGGGGUAGAAUUCCACGUGUAGCAGUGAAAUGCGUAGAUAUGUGGAGGAAUACCAAUGGCGAAGGCAGCCCCCUGGGAUAACACUGACGCUCAUGCACGAAA
RNAcentral lists this ribosomal RNA (395 nucleotides) under uncultured bacterium. Its description in RNAcentral is "bacterial SSU rRNA". It matches the Rfam family "Bacterial small subunit ribosomal RNA", at positions 362 to 758 of the family's 1533-position model. The record is from RNAcentral.